GACGAACGCUGGCGGCGUGCUUAACACAUGCAAAGUCGAGCGGUAAGGCCCUUUCGGGGGUACACGAGCGGCGAACGGGUGAGUAACACGUGGGUGACCUGCCCUUAGCUCUGGGAUAAGCCUGGGAAACUGGGUCUAAUACCGGAUAUGACUCCAUGACGCAUGUUGUGGGGUGGAAAGCCUUGUGCGGCUAGGGAUGGGCCCGCGGCCUAUCAGCUUGUUGGUGGGGUGAUGGCCUACCAAGGCGACGACGGGUAGCCGGCCUGAGAGGGCGACCGGCCACACUGGGACUGAGACACGGCCCAGACUCCUACGGGAGGCAGCAGUGGGGAAUCUUGCGCAAUGGGCGAAAGCCUGACGCAGCGACGCCGCGUGAAGGAUGACGGCCU
Molecule: ribosomal RNA, 389 nt
Filed under: uncultured bacterium
Lineage: Bacteria
Description: bacterial SSU rRNA
Rfam family: Bacterial small subunit ribosomal RNA
Source: RNAcentral